RNAcentral lists this transfer RNA (67 nucleotides) under Nephtys sp. 'San Juan Island' YV-2008. Its description in RNAcentral is "tRNA-Ser". RNAcentral also lists the same sequence under 1 other name. The record is from RNAcentral. Lineage: Eukaryota; Metazoa; Annelida; Polychaeta; Phyllodocida; Nephtyidae.
GACUUUUUAUUUUGGAAAUAAAUGAUUUUGAAAGUCAUAAAAAGACGUUCGAAUCGUCUAAAAGUCU